Long non-coding RNA from Cercocebus atys (sooty mangabey), 1242 nucleotides. RefSeq lists it as uncharacterized. NCBI's taxonomy places the organism in Eukaryota, Metazoa, Chordata, Mammalia, Primates, Cercopithecidae. The transcript has 2 exons. The record is from RefSeq and is a predicted model, not a curated record.
GCAGAAACUCAGAGUAAGCACCAGUUAAAAUCGAAAAAUAACGAGGACAGAUUGCUUGGAGUACACAACACUGACUAGAAGCUAUUUUGGGAAAGCUCAACAGAUAGGGCCAUGGAACGAGAAAAACUUCUCCAUUGCAAAAAAGGCCACGAUGAAGUUAAAAAAAACAAAUGAUGGACUGGAGGGAAAUAGCUGUUCAGUUCAUGAGUAGGGGCAUGUCCUGCUCCAACGCCUCCUCACCAAUAGGGGUCAAGCUCUCCUAAAGAAUCCUAGCUUCUCUUAGCUGCUCCCAACCCUUGCUUCCUGGAAGGAGGGAAGGUGACUAGGGGAAAGUAGGGGCACCAGCAGUCCAUCCUCCUCCUCUCCUUUUCCGCUCAGCCUAAGCCCCAGCCCCCACCCUGCUGGGGGAAGCCAGGGUCUGUAUUCUGUGCUGUGCAGUAAAAGCAGUGACCCACAGCUUUUCUCCCGGGAGGUGGGUGGGAGAAAAGGACAAAUCUCUACAAGGACAGAAAGCUCAUCCCUCACUUACAAAGCAUGCUACAGACCUGGAAGAGAGGUAAGCACACCGGGAAAAACGAUGCAAACACGAAUGCAGGCAUAGGUAACAUCCAACAGCAGCAACAAGGCAUUUAUGCUCACAAGUAACAAAACACAAGAACACCAAAAUGAGAUGCCUUUCUUUGGGGCAAAAUGUAUAAAAAUAUGUAGACCUAGCCAGGAUUUUGGGGUACUGGGCACACUCAUAUACUGUCAACAGAUUUUAUGAAGGACAAUUUGGCAAUAUCAAAAAAAUAGUAAAAUAAAAAGGCAUAUUCCCUGACUCAAUAAUUCCAUUUUGAGGAACUUCUUCAAUUUGAGAAAAAUACCUGGAUGAUGCAUUGGUAUGUGCAAAGACAUUUUACCUCAUCCCUAUUUAUAAAAGAAAAACCUGGAAGAUGAGCUUGGUCGAGUAAUUUAUAGACAGUUUACAAGACCAAUUUUGCGCUCAGACAGCCUGGGUUCAAAUCCCAUCUCUGCCUUCAGUGCUGGGCAAUUCGCAGAAGCUACUCAAUGUCUCCGUGCUCUGCUUUCCUCCAUUGCCAAGGAAGCGGGUAGGGCACUGCAGAUGAACCACACAAAGGAAACGCCAGUCACUUGCCUGGUAAGUCACAAGGAAAGGAAGAGGCAGCUACAGGGAAUCAGCAUCAAAUAAAAUGCCAAUUUCUCUCCCAACCCUCCAGGGCUUAAAAAAAAAAAAAACAA